Long non-coding RNA from Oreochromis niloticus (Nile tilapia), 597 nucleotides. RefSeq lists it as uncharacterized. NCBI's taxonomy places the organism in Eukaryota, Metazoa, Chordata, Actinopteri, Cichliformes, Cichlidae. The transcript is spliced from 3 exons. The record is from RefSeq and is a predicted model, not a curated record.
UGCACCCCAAAUUCCCCGUCUUUAGUUUUGUUCAUGUGCCUGUGCGGUGUAAGCUGUCGUCACAAAUGAUUUCACCACCUGGUUUAAUCCACAGCCUUCAUAAAAGGUCCUAUUCACAAGCAUGACUGAGACGGAUCUCCUGCAGGAAAUGAGCUCCAUACGUCCUGAGUGCUGAGACUCCACAAUACAGUACCUCCCUCACAAACAUGGCCCCCAGUGUUUUGACUGUGUCAUAGCCAUCAAUUAUGAGAUGCAUAUCAACAUCCUUUUGAUGUGUUGAACAGUUUCUUGUCAGGGAAACAUAAUCUGAAUGGAGGAGAAAGAGUGGAGGAGUCUCACAAACACACGCUCAGACCAGUGAAACCAAGCUCUUCCACAGAUUUGGACUAUUUCAGAGCGCUCUCCACCCCGGACUCCUUUAAGAGAUUUCCACAGAUGCUGCCACAUUCUAUUCCUUUCCUUUAUUUUCCUCUCAUUUUUAACUCUUACCAACUGUUAAAGUUCUCGAUAUCUGAAAUAUGUUUAUUCAUUUGUGAUAUAUUUAUUCUCACUUUAUUUAUAUCCAAACCUUAUACCCUGACUUUGAUUACAAUAAAU